Molecule: unclassified non-coding RNA, 404 nt
Filed under: soil metagenome
Description: partial contains 5.8S ribosomal RNA, internal transcribed spacer 2, and large subunit ribosomal RNA
Rfam family: 5.8S ribosomal RNA (bases 1-122)
Source: RNAcentral
GAUGAAGAACGUAGCAAAAUGCGAUACUUGUUGUGAAUUGCAGAAUCCCGUGAACCAUCGAGUUUUUGAACGCAAGUUGCGCCCGAAGCCUUUUGGCCGAGGGCACGUCUGCCUGGGCGUCACGCAUCGCGUCGCCCCCCACAAUUCUCCGUAAAGGGAACAUGUGUUUUGGGGGCGGAUAUUGGUCUCCCGUGCUCAUGGCGUGGUUGGCCGAAAUAGGAGUCCUUUCGAUGGACGCACGAACUAGUGGUGGUCGUAAAAACCCUCGUCUUUUGUUUCGUGCUGUUGCUCGCAAGGUAAACUCUUUAAAAACCCCAAUGUGUCGUCUCUUGACGACGCUUCGACCGCGACCCCAGGUCAGGCGGGACUACCCGCUGAGUUUAAGCAUAUCAAUAAGCGGAGGA